RNAcentral lists this ribosomal RNA (400 nucleotides) under phytoplankton environmental sample. RNAcentral describes it as "partial small subunit ribosomal RNA". It matches the Rfam family "Eukaryotic small subunit ribosomal RNA", at positions 587 to 988 of the family's 1831-position model. The record is from RNAcentral.
AGCUCCAAUAGCGUAUAUUAAAGUUGUUGCAGUUAAAAAGCUCGUAGUUGGAUUUGUGGUGUGUCCAGUUGGCCUUUGCUCUUUGAGUGAUUGCGCUUUACUGGUCUGCCAUGUUUGGGUGGAAUCUGUGUGGCAUUAAGUUGUCGUGCAGGGGAUGCCCAUCGUUUACUGUGAAAAAAUUAGAGUGUUCAAAGCAGGCUUAUGCCGUUGAAUAUAUUAGCAUGGAAUAAUAAUAUAGGACCUUGGUACUAUUUUGUUGGUUUGCGCACUAAGGUAAUGAUUAAGAGGGACAGUUGGGGGUAUUUGUAUUCCAUUGUCAGAGGUGAAAUUCUUGGAUUUUUGGAAGACAAACUACUGCGAAAGCAUUUACCAAGGAUGUUUUCAUUAAUCAAGAACGAAA